Non-coding RNA from Chrysemys picta bellii (western painted turtle), 3012 nucleotides. The record is from RefSeq and is a predicted model, not a curated record. NCBI's taxonomy places the organism in Eukaryota, Metazoa, Chordata, Testudines, Emydidae.
GACUCGCUCAAAAUGGCGUACAGCCUUCCCGCCCCUGUGCCGCUCCGAUUGUCUCCUCGGCCUCUAUGGCUUCCUCCCCAUUGGAGAGAAGUACUGUCAGUCACAGGCGAGCGUCCCUCUGGCUGCCAUGACAACCAGAAUGCAGGACUGUGCUGCCUGCUGCGGGGAUAUGCCGGGGCGGGUCUCCACCAGGGGCCUCACCCGCUCCGUGGCUCAUAGACUAAAAUAUUACAUUGAUGUGCAAAGAAAAGAAGAUAGUUUUGAUUUAUCAGGAGCUAGCAGGAAUGAGGCUGAAAGUUCCAGUUUCUAUAUGCAUCCUGGAAGUAUUGCUGAACAAAAAUAUGAUCAGUGUCUCAAGCAUAAUUUUACAGAUUGUAAAUUCGAAGCAUCUCUUCGAAUGUAUACAGGAAAUUCUGAAGAAUGUGAAAGAAAAUUACAGAGCAGCCCAGAAAGACAACAGGAAAUGAAGAUCAUCAAAAAGAAAAUGGCACAAGAUGUUGUAACUGACAGACCUUUCCCGGUCUUAGUAAGGAGUACAAAAAGAACAAAGAAGUUGCACAGCUUCCCUUCCAGACUAUCUCAAUUUCCUCCUCCCCCAUACACAUCACAAGAAGAAGUCAUGAGGCUCAUUUCAUCAGCUUCAAAGCUAAUUGUUGCGGCGACUUGUGAAAUUUCUUCGGAGGAAAUAAAGAAGCCAGACUGUGCCUCACCCCAGAAGAGGAAAGAAGCUAAAAAUAGUCAAAGAUUGAACCAUUACUACAAGCAGCGUGCACCUCCUCUUGUGAUCUCUCGAGAUCCCCAUGAAUAUGAAGCUAAGAGCACUGAUGUAUUCUGUUUUAAAAGUACACGGGAAAUGAACAAAUUAGAAGAAUCAAAUGCUGACUUUAUCCAAGAAAAUUCAAGGAAUGAUUAUGGGAAAAAUACAAAGAAAGGCAAGAAAGAAAAAAACAUUAUAAAUGUAAAUGGACAGUUCAGAGUUGAGAGAUCAUCUAACGUUUCCAGUAACUCGUCUAAACAUAGGAGUGUACAUUCUAAAACUUCGACAAGAGCAACUGAUUUAAAUUCAUUGUACUUAAGUACCAUAUCUCCAUAUGCACAAGGAACUGGCAGAAGUAAAGGUCCUAAAAAAAAUGUGCUUAAUGAAGGGGAGUCCUCUGCCUUGCGCAGCUCUUCAGUGAUGUCUGAAUGCCAAGAUACAGAGCCAAGUACUGGCCGUAUAUCAGGCUUGACAAGUUUUGCUCACUCUCAGAAAAAUGAAUGCCUCUCUGGGUGGCUCUGUAAGUCAUCUGAAUUCAAAAGGCAAAAGUCACCCCAAAUGCCUAGUAGAAAGCAUUCAGGCAUCAGAGUUAGUAAGUCUAGCAAGCUUUCACAGAGAAGGCCAAUGGAGAACUCCAGGAAUAUGCCACACAUCAAAAAGAAAGAAAAAAUAGUGAAGGAAACAGGGAAUUAAAUGAGAAAAUAAUUCAUACUAUUUCCACAAAUGCACAAGCCCCAAUCAUAAAUGAAAACACGGGAGAACAAACAGCUUCUGUUGUGGCUCUUAAAUGUGGCAUUCACCACAGCCAAAAUACCACAUGUAACAGCCUUCAUCAGAGACCUCAAAGUAACCAGCACCAAAAAAAGAAGAAAGAUUUGUGUGAAUUAGCUACAGGAAAAAACACCAAAUCCCAUAAGGUCCGUUUCCAAGGUCCAUUGCAGUUUUCCAGAAAUACUGAACAGAAAUGUAACUGUGUAAACUUGAAUAGUUGUAACAUAACAAGUGACUAUGGAAUUCAAACCAUUGCUUCAGAAAGUAAAUCUUUAGGGACUGUGACACAUCUUCCAGAGAAGGAAAAUGAAGAACACCUUUCUAGGGUCACACUUGGAGCACCUUCCUUUCUACAUCAAGUUUUCCUGGAAAUGGAGCAAGAUGCAUCACCUACUUCAACUGCAUCUGAGCCUAAAGAUCUGGACAGCAGUUUAGAAAACAAAAGUAUACAACAAUUAUGUAACCAGCAUUUCAUCCUUAAUGAAUCCACAGGAGACACGAAGGUUCAGGAUACUAUCAGCAAUGUACAUACAAGUAACAUUAUUUUAACAGACCCAUGUGAUUGGCAAAUGGCACAUAUCCCACAGAAGGCUCAGUGUUGUUGCACCUGUUCAGAAGAACAAUGCAACUUUAUAUCUGAAACAUCUGAUGAAGAACAAGACAGUUUCUCAGAUUCAUCUGUGACAGUAACAAGUAUUUUAGGUGCAUUAGAAAACCAACAGUCAGAAGAGGAGUUCACUAUAUCAUCUGUAUCUGAUAGCCUGAGUCUUGGAUCAUUAUAUGAUGUGCAUGAACAGAUGGAAGAAAACAUUUGUGUUGACCGAAAAGAGGAGGAAAACUCUGACUCCAGCAUAGGCCAUCUUGAUGAAAGAGUUCUAGAGGAAAUGCAGAAGAUUAGCACCUCGGAGAGGCUCUCUCAGACAAACUCCUUCCAUUUCAGGUAUUAAUAUUUAUUCUACCUGAAAAGAACCAGAAUAGGCUUUUAGUUUCCAUUUCAGGGAUCCACAUCUUUGAGUUGGUAUUAAAUAUUGGGGACCUGGUGAUGCCUUCCUUUUUAUAGCACUGCAGUAGUCUCACCUGAUGGUAAAAUCAUGGAUAACAAUGGGAUGGUUCAAAUUCAUAAGAGAGAAUGUAAGAUCCCUCUUAAGUGCAAGAUAAGAAUGAGUAUUACUUAUUCCGCCCCAAGGCACUUACAAUCUAAAUUGCUAUCUGGACAUCCAGAAACCCCUCAGGAUACAACAAAUUCCCCAACCAAACCAAGACAUGCCAUUAAUCAAAGAUACUGAUAUAAUUUCUGCCAUUUCCUCAGUUUGCUUCUCCCUCCAUAUAGGCACUAUCUCGGUCUUGUCUGGGCUGAAUCUCAGGCCUGGUCUACACUGGGAUGGGGGAGGAGGAGGAAGAAUCAAUCUAAGUUACGCAAUUUCAGCUAUGUGAAUAACAUAGCUGAAGUUGACGUAUUUAGAUCUACUUACCGCAGUGUCUUC